CCUACGGGCGGCAGCAGUUAGGAAUCUUGCGCAAUGGGGGAAACCCUGACGCAGCAACGCCGCGUGAGUGAUGAAGGCCUUCGGGUUGUAAAGCUCUUUUAGUUGGGACGAAAAAAAUGACGGUACCGACAGAAAAAGCACCGGCUAACCCUGUGCCAGCAGCCGCGGUAAUACAGGGGGUGCAAGCGUUAUUCGGAAUUAUUGGGCGUAAAGAGCGUGUAGGCGGUUUGGUAAGUCUGAUGUGAAAGCCCUGGGCUCAAUCCAGGAAGUGCAUCGGAUACUGCCAGACUAGAGUAUAGGAGAGGUAAGCGGAAUUCCUGGUGUAGAGGUGAAAUUCGUAGAUAUCAGGAGGAACAACAGCGGCGAAGGCGGCUUACUGGACUAUUACUGACGCUAAGGCGCGAAAGCGUGGGGAGCAAACAGGAUUAGAUACCCCAGUAGUC
This 443-nucleotide ribosomal RNA is filed under the name uncultured bacterium. RNAcentral's name for it is "bacterial SSU rRNA". It matches the Rfam family "Bacterial small subunit ribosomal RNA", at positions 338 to 795 of the family's 1533-position model. The record is from RNAcentral.